This 518-nucleotide ribosomal RNA is filed under the name uncultured bacterium. RNAcentral's name for it is "bacterial SSU rRNA". It matches the Rfam family "Bacterial small subunit ribosomal RNA", at positions 15 to 518 of the family's 1533-position model. The record is from RNAcentral.
GAUUCUGGCUCAGAUUGAACGCUGGCGGCGUGCUUAACACAUGCAAGUCGCGCGUGAAAGGACUUCGGUCCGAGUAAAGCGGCGCACGGGUGAGUAACGCGUGGAUGAUCUACCCAUGAGUUAGGAAUAACGGCUGGAAACGGUCGCUAAUACCAAAUACGCUCCGAUUUCAACUUCGGGGGAAAGGUGGCCUCUGCUUGCAAGCUACUGCUCAUGGAUGAGUCCGCGUCCCAUUAGCUAGUUGGUGGGGUAACGGCCCACCAAGGCGACGAUGGGUAGCCGGUCUGAGAGGAUGACCGGCCACACUGGGACUGGAACACGGCCCAGACUCCUACGGGAGGCAGCAGUGGGGAAUAUUGCGCAAUGGGCGAAAGCCUGACGCAGCGACGCCGCGUGAGGGAUGAAGGUCCUCGGAUCGUAAACCUCUGUCAGGAGGGAAGAACCGCCACGGUGCUAAUCAGCCGUGGUCUGACGGUACCUCCAAAGGAAGCACCGGCUAACUCCGUGCCAGCAGCGGC